This 631-nucleotide ribosomal RNA is filed under the name uncultured Porphyromonadaceae bacterium. RNAcentral's name for it is "bacterial SSU rRNA". It matches the Rfam family "Bacterial small subunit ribosomal RNA", at positions 86 to 715 of the family's 1533-position model. Lineage: Bacteria; Pseudomonadati; Bacteroidota; Bacteroidia; Bacteroidales; Porphyromonadaceae. The record is from RNAcentral.
UGGUGGCGACCGGCGCACGGGUGAGUAACGCGUAUGCAACCCACCUAUCAGAGGGGAAUAACCCGGCGAAAGUCGGACUAAUACCGCAUAAAACAGGGGCACCGCAUGGUGAUAUUUGUUAAAGAAAUUCGCUGAUAGAUGGGCAUGCGUUCCAUUAGGUAGUUGGUGAGGUAACGGCUCACCAAGCCGACGAUGGAUAGGGGAACUGAGAGGUUGGUCCCCCACACUGGUACUGAGACACGGACCAGACUCCUACGGGAGGCAGCAGUGAGGAAUAUUGGUCAAUGGGCGAGAGCCUGAACCAGCCAAGUCGCGUGAAGGAAGAAGGAUCUAUGGUUCGUAAACUUCUUUUGCAGGGGAAUAAAGUGCAGGACGUGUCCUGUUUUGUAUGUACCCUGAGAAUAAGGAUCGGCUAACUCCGUGCCAGCAGCCGCGGUAAUACGGAGGAUCCGAGCGUUAUCCGGAUUUAUUGGGUUUAAAGGGUGCGUAGGUGGUUUGAUAAGUCAGCGGUGAAAGUUUGCAGCUUAACUGUAAAAAUGCCGUUGAAACUGUCGGACUUGAGUGUAAAUGAGGUAGGCGGAAUGCGUGGUGUAGCGGUGAAAUGCUUAGAUAUCACGAAGAACUCCGAUUG